GUAAGGUGGUAUCUCACUGUGGUUUUAAUUUGCAUUUGCCUGAUGAUUAGUGAUGUUGAGCAUUUUUUCAUUUGCCUGUUGGUCGUUUGUAUACGUUCUUUUGACAAAUGCUUAUUCAUGUCCUUUGCUCACUUUUUAAUGGGAUUAUCUUUUUUAUCUUGUUGACUUAUUUGAGUUUCUUGUAGAUUUUGUAUUGUAGUCCUUCGUUGGAUGCAUACUUUGUAAAUAUUUUGUUUUAUUCUGUGGGUUGUCUGUUUGCUUUGUUGAUUAUUUCUUUUGCUGUGCAGAAGAGUUUUAGUUUAAGUAGGUCCCACUUGUUUAUUUAUUUGUUUUGUUGCAUUUUCUUUUGAAGUUUUAGUCAUACAUUUUUUGCCUAUGCCAAUGUCCGAAAGAGUUUUUCCAAGGUUAUCUUGUAGAAUUUUUAUGGUUUCAGGUCUUAUGUUUAAAUCUUUAAUCCAUCCUAAGUUGAUUUUUGUAUAAGGUGAGAGAUAGGGACCCAGUAUCAUUCUUUUCUAUGUAGCUAGCCAGUUUCCCCAGCACCAUUUAUUGAAUAGGGUCUCGUUUCCCUAAUUUAUAUUUUUGUAUGCUUUGUUGAAAAUCAGUUGGUUGUAAGUAUUUGGCUUUAUUUCUGGGUUCUUUAUUAUUCUGUUUCAUUGGUCCAUGCCUACUUUUAUACCACUACCAAGCUGUUAUGGUAAUAAUCUUGUUGUAUAAUUUGAAGUCAGGCAACGUGAUGCCUCCAGAUUUGUUUAUUUUACUAAGGAUUGCUUUGGCUAUUUGGGCUCUUUUUGUUCUGCAUGAAUUUUCGGAUUUUUUUUCUAAUUCUCUGGAAAAUGAUGAUUGCAGUUUAAUUGAAAUUGCACUGAAUCUGUAGGUCGCUUUGGGUAGUAUAAUCAUUUUUCCCAAUAUUGAUUCUUCUCAUUAAUGACUAUGAAAUGUGUUUCCAUUUGUUUUUGUUAUCUGUGAUUUACUUCAGCAGUGUUUUGUAGUUCUCCUUGUAGAGAUCUUUCACCUCCGUGGUUAAGCAUAUUCCUAGAUAUUUUAUUUUUUUAUUUUUACAGCUGUUAUAAAAGGGUUUGAGUUCUUGAUGUAAUUUUCAACUAAGUCGCUGUUGGUGUAUAGCAGUGCUAAUAAUUUGUGUACAUUGAUUUUGUAUCCUGUUACUUUAGUGAAUUAUUUUAUCAAAUCUAGGAGUCUUUUGGAGGAGUCCUUAGGGUUUUCUAGGUAUACAAUCAUAUAAUCAUUAAACAAUAAUAGUGUGACUUUCUCUUCUUCAAUUUGGAUGCUCUUUAUUUAUUUCCUUUUCCUGAUUGCUCUGGCUAGGACUUCUACUGCUAUUUUGAAUAGAAGUGGUGAAAGUGGGCAUCCUUGUCUUGUUCCUGUUCUCAGGGGGAUUGCUUUCAACUUUUCCCCAUUUAGUAAGAUGUUGGCUGCGAGUUUGCCAUAUAUAGCUUUUCUUAUUUUGAUAUAAGUUCCUUCUAUGCCUAGUUUGUUGAGGAUUUUUAUCAUAAGGGGAUGCUGGAUUUUAUAGAAUGUUUUUCUGCAUCUAUUGAGAUGAUUAUAAAUUUUUUGUUUUUAAUUCUUGUUUAAGUAAUGUAUCUUUUUAUUGACUUGCAUAUGUUAAACUAUGUUGGCACACCUGGUAUAAAAUACACUUGAUCAUGGUGUAUUAUUUCUUUGAUGUGUGGUUGAAUUGGGUUAGCUAGUAUUUUGUUGAGUAUUUUGUUGUGUCGCUAUUAUUCAUUUUAAAGAAUUUUUAAAUUUCCAUAUAUAUUUCCAUGUUCAUCAGAAAUAUUGUUUUGUUGUUGUUGAUGUUGUUACAUCCCCUCCUAGUUUUGGUAUCAGGGUGAUACUGGCUUCAUAUAAUGAUUUAUGGAGGAUUUCCUCUUUUUCAGUCUUUUAAAAUAAUUCCAAUAGGGCUGGUAUUAAUUAUUCUUUGAAUAUCUGGUAGAAUUUAGCUGUAGCUGUGAAUCCAUCUGGGCCUUGGGCUUUUUAUUGCUGGCAAUUUUAAAAUUUCUGAUUGCUAUUUGUCUAUUCAGGGUUUCUAUUUCUUGCUGAUUUAAUCUAGGAGAUUUGUAUGUUUCCAGGAAUUUAUUUAUUUCCUCUAGAUUUUCUAGUUUGUGUGCAUGAAGAUUUCAUAGUAUUCUCAAAACAUCUUUUGUAUUUCUGUGAUGUUGGUUGUAAUGUCUCUAGUUUCAUUUCUGAUUGAGCAUGUUUAAAUCUUCUCUUUUUUAUUGGUUAACCUAGCUAAUGGCCUAUCAAUUUUCUUUAUUUUUUCAAAGAACCAUCUUUUGUUUCAUUGACAUUUUGUACUGUGUUUCAGUUUCAUUUAGUUCUGCUCUGAUCUUUGUUAUUUCUUUUCUCCUGCUAGCUUUGAGCUUGCUUCAUUCUUGUUUCUCUAGUUUUUUGACAUGACAUCAGAUUAUCAAUUUAUGAUUCUUUAGAAUUUUUGAUAUAGUCAUUUUGUGCUAUGAACUUUCCUCUUAGCACUGCUUUUACUGUGUGCUAGAGCUUUUGAUAAGUUGUGUCACUAUUAUUCAUUUUAAAGAAUUUUUAAAUUUCCAUCUUAAUUUCAAAGAUACAAAGAUCCUUUAGGAGCAGAUUGUUUAAUUUCCAUUUAUUUGUGUAGUUUUGAAGAUUCCUUUUGGAGUUGAUUUCUAGUUUUUUCCUACUGUGGUCUGAGAAG
Molecule: long non-coding RNA, 2686 nt
Filed under: Homo sapiens (human)
Lineage: Eukaryota; Metazoa; Chordata; Mammalia; Primates; Hominidae
Description: HSALNT0044168
Source: RNAcentral